This 300-nucleotide ribosomal RNA is filed under the name uncultured Dysgonomonas sp. Its description in RNAcentral is "bacterial SSU rRNA". It matches the Rfam family "Bacterial small subunit ribosomal RNA", at positions 496 to 795 of the family's 1533-position model. Lineage: Bacteria; Pseudomonadati; Bacteroidota; Bacteroidia; Bacteroidales; Dysgonomonadaceae. The record is from RNAcentral.
GAUAAAGACGGGACAGAGGCCGAGGGAAUACGUAGGGGGGGAGGGUUGUCCGGAUUUACUGGGUGUAAAGGGGUAUCAGGUGGAUUUGUAAGGCAGAGGUGAAAUCCCAAAGCUCAACUUUGGUGCGGCCUUUGAUACUGCAAGUCUUGAGUUUGGAAGAGGGUAAUGGAAUAUCUGGUGUAGCAGUGAAAUGCGUAGAUAUCAGAUAGAACACCAAUGGCGAAGGCAGUUACCUGGUCCAAAACUGACACUAAAGCACGAAAGUGUGGGGAGCAAACAGGAUUAGAUACCCCUGUAGUC